GGGCAGCUUCAUCUCUCCCUUGGCCUUAGGCUGGCCUGGGCAGCAACAGCUCUGUCUCUGGCUGUCAGGGCUGCCAGGAUGUGACAAGCGGCAGAUGGGCCUCUGAUCAAUGGACUCCGUCCCCGAGCAAGGACGGUGGGGCUGGGGGCAGGAUGGGGGAGCAGCCGCUAAUGGAUGGGCCCAGGAGCAGUGAUGGAUGGGCAGGAAGAAGCUGCCAUUUGUCUUGGGGAAGUGAGUGACUCCGAGGAGGAGGGGGAGGGAGGGUGGCCCACAGGCUGGGAGAGAGGAGACAGCUGGGAGCCCAGCCAGCUGGGAAGGUGGGGGGAGGGUGCCCCAGCUGGGAUGGGGCAGCGAAGAAGUUUCCUGCCUUAAACCAGAGCUCCCAGCCCUGGCCAGAGAGCAGCCUACCAUGUGGCGCAAAAGAUAUGAAGGAAUCCUCUGGAAAUCAGGCCCUUGCCUUGCUCCUAUUCAGGGUUAGGUCAAGCCUCUGCAGGACUGAUUUCCCUUUUCCUUUUUUCUUUUAGGGCCACAGAGACAGCAUAUGGAAGUUCCUGGGCUAGAGGUCAAACAGAAGCUGCAGCCGCCGGCCUACACCACAGCCACAGCAAUGCCAGAUCCGAGCCACAUCUGUAACCUACACCACAGCUCAUGGCAACGCCAGAUCCUUAAUCCACUAGGCGAGGCCAGGGAUCGAACCUGAAUCCUCAUGGAUACUAGUCGAGUUUGUUUCCGCUGAGCCACGACGGGAACUCCAGGACUGAUUUCCCUUGAAGGCCCUAAAUGCUCUUCCUCGCCUCCCCUUACUGUCCUCUGCUCAGGCCCCAAACUAGGCAGCACGCUGGCUCACUCUUCCUCGAGGUGCCUCCAGGCCUCUCCCUGCUGUGUCCCAUCCGUGAUGCCCUCUCCCCAGACACCUGCCUGCGGUCUGAGGUCAGAGAGGCCUUCUCUGAGCACUGCUCAUAACACAGCAGUGGUUCUGCAGCCUGGGCCCCUGCUGCCGCCUGGCGCUCCCUGUCACUGUGACCCCCACCUGUUAUUAUUAUUUUUAGUACCAGUCACCAUCUGAUAUACUGCGUAUUUUUCUGCUUCCUCUGGUCUGUCUCCCCCACUAGACCCAGGGCUCUUUAUUUAUUUACUUAUUUAUUUUUGUCUUUUUAGGGCCAUUUCUAGUCAGGUUCUUAACCCACUGAGCCACAACAGGAACUCCAAGGACUCUUUUAUUUCUAUUUAUUUUUUUUAUUUGUUUGGGAGUUCCCAUCGUGGCUCAGUGGAAAUGAUUAGGAUUGGUGAGGAUGCAGGUUCGAUCCCUGGCCUUGCUCAGUGGGUUAAGGAUUGGGUGUUGCCAUGAGCUGUGGCUUAGUUUGCAGACAAGUCUCGGACUUGGCAUUGCUGUGGCUGUGGCUGUGGUAUAGGCCCGUGGCUACAGCUCUGAUUCGACCCCUAGCCUGGGAACCUCCAUAUGCCUCAGGUGCAGCCCUAAAAAGACAAAAAAUAAUAAUAAUAAUAAAAAAUUUGUUUAUCUGGGCUAUACCUGCAGCAUGUAGAAGUUCCUGGGCCAGGAAUCAAAUCCCCACCACAGCUGCUCCAGAGCCACAUCAGUGACAACACUGGAUCCUUAAGCCACUGAGCCACUAGGGAACUCCAGCUCUGGACUCUUUUGUUUGCUGCUGUAUCCCUGUUGUUUAGAAUAGCACUCAGGAGGGGUUCCGUGAAUAACUCUUGCUAGCAGGAGGGGAAGGAUUCAAACUCCAGCCCUGACGCUGGCUGGCGUUGUGGGUUUGGGCCAUCUCCCGAGCUUCAGGGUUCUCAGCUGCAGGAUGAAAUGACCAUCCUUCUCCCAGAGUCCCUGGGAAGAUGCCAGCAGGCAGCUGCAUCCCUGUAGGGCCUGGUAAUGGCCAGCUCUGUAACCAGGAGCUACUUUUACCAGCAUUGUCCAUGACCCCUGAUCACGAGGUCAUCCCCUCUGUCUGUUCACCCCAAGUCUCUGCCCUCACCUUGGAUCCCCCCAGAAAGUUGGCCUUCUGUGCUCCCCAAGCCAGCCCUGAAGGAGAUACUCUGUCCUCAUGCCUCAAACCAUAGCCUCUGCCGCCAAGGGUCACCCUGGUCCUGGUGGCUGUCAUUGUCUGUUUCACCCUCAGUCUUCAACCCUGAAGAUAAUGUCGAGAUAGCUUUGUUCUUGUUUUUUCUUUUUUGCUUUUUAGGGCUGCACCCGCAGCAUUUGGAGGUUCCUAGCUUGGGAGCCUCCACAUGCCGCAGGUGUGGCCCUAGAAAAGACAAAAAAAAAGAGAUUCACCUUAGUAGGCAAAGGCUACUUUUCUGCAAACACCUGACACUGCCUGUGGGCACUUUUCUGGCCUCGGGGACGUGUUCGGGGUAUAAGGGGACCCCAAAGUACCAGAGCCUUAAUGUGCCCAGAAGCAGCCCUCAAUCGAUGGCAGACACAUGAUGGAUAAACACCCCAGCUCCCCCACCCUUAAAAGGAGGAUCACAAAGUUCUAAGGUCCUGGACUUGAGUGAUGGUUCAUUUUACGCGUCACCUUGACUGGCCGUGGAGUGCCCGGAUGAAGACGUGAUUUCUGGGGGUGUCUCUGGGGGUGUUUCUGGAUGAGAUAGAGGUGCACUUGACCUGGUGGGCUUUGUAAAAUACCUGGCUCUCCCCCAUGUCAGGGGGCAGCAUUCAACCCACUGAGGGCCUGAGUGGAAUGGAGGCCAAGGAAGGAGACGGUUCCCCUUUUUGCCUGCUUCACGGUCUCACCUGGGACAUGGUACCUCAGUUUCUCCUGACCUUGGAUCGAGUUGACACCGUUGACUCCCCUGUUUCUCAAACCUUCAGACUCAGAUUGAAUCACACCACUGGUUCCAGCUUGUGGGCAGCAGAUCCGGGGCUUCUCGGCCUCCAUAGUCGCGUGAGCCAGUUCCUCCUAAUAAACCAAUGUGUAUGUACGUAUCUUAUUGAUUCUGUUUCUCUGGAGGACCCUGACUAAUGCAGCUUGUUAGGAGGAUUAAAUGCAAAGGUGCAGGCACAAAGCACAGAGCCUGGCUUGUGUACAUCAGAGCUUAAAGCAAAACAGCUAACUGGAUAAUUCCCCCAAACAAAGGCAGCUAAAAUCCAGAUCUCGUCCCCUCAGUCUUCCGCUGGUUAAACUCUUUCCAACCAAUCUCUGCUAUUUGAUCCUCUCUGAUAAUAUUUUCUCUUCUCUCACCAUAAAUGGUUGAAUCCUCAGCAUCCUUGGAUCUGGCCAAGCCCCUCUUGAAGUGUGGAAUCCAUGUUGCAGGUGGAGCAAGGGCUGUGUAGAGCUAGACUGUCACCUCCUUGGUUUAUACCUCUAUUGAUGAAUCCCUCUGUUAAUGAAUCUCUCAAUGUCAGAUCCUAUUACCUUUGGUGUUUCCUGUUGCGUUAAAGAAGAAACUUACUGCACUUAUCUUUUGUUUCUUGUCAUGCUAUAUCUGGUCCCAAAGGCAGAGCUUCUCAUGUACCCAGCCCACACUGGUAAACUGAUGAUGGAGCUUAGAAUUCCAAACUAUGGAGUUCCCGUCGUAGCGCAGUGGUUAACGAAUCUGACUAGGAACCAUGAGGUUGCGGGUUCGCUCCCUGCCCUUGCUCAGUGGGUUAAGCGUCCGGUGUUGCCAUGAGCUGUGGUGUAGGUCACAGACGCGGCUUGGAUCUGGCGUUGCUGUGGCUCUGGUGUAGGCUGGAGGCUACAGCUCCGAUUAGACCCCUAGCCUGGGAACCUCCAUAUGCCACGAGAGCGGCCCAAUAAAUGGUAAAAAAGACAAAAGAAAAAAAAAAAAA
RNAcentral lists this long non-coding RNA (3793 nucleotides) under Sus scrofa (pig). Its description in RNAcentral is "lncRNA (ENSSSCG00035060490.1)". The record is from RNAcentral. Lineage: Eukaryota; Metazoa; Chordata; Mammalia; Artiodactyla; Suidae.